UAUACCCUACGGGGCGCAGCAGUGGGGAAUAUUGCACAAUGGGGGAAACCCUGAUGCAGCGACGCCGCGUGAAGGAAGAAGUAUUUCGGUAUGUAAACUUCUAUCAGCAGGGAAGAAAGUGACGGUACCUGACUAAGAAGCCCCGGCUAACUACGUGCCAGCAGCCGCGGUAAUACGUAGGGGGCAAGCGUUAUCCGGAUUUACUGGGUGUAAAGGGAGCGUAGGCGGCGAUGCAAGUCAGAAGUGAAAGCCCGGGGCUCAACUCCGGGACUGCUUUGAAACUGUAUGGC
This 290-nucleotide ribosomal RNA is filed under the name uncultured bacterium. Its description in RNAcentral is "partial 16S ribosomal RNA". It matches the Rfam family "Bacterial small subunit ribosomal RNA", at positions 333 to 641 of the family's 1533-position model. The record is from RNAcentral.